Molecule: long non-coding RNA, 414 nt
Filed under: Trifolium pratense (red clover)
Lineage: Eukaryota; Viridiplantae; Streptophyta; Magnoliopsida; Fabales; Fabaceae
Description: long non-coding RNA (TPRA_LNC008737)
Source: RNAcentral
CUCCAAAAUAGAUGAUUUUCAGAAUAUCCUGAAUUUAUUUUGUGUUCACAUUUAACUGAUUUAGUUUUGUUACCUUUUUUCCCCAGAUGAAGAUUGAUGCUGGUCUAUCAUGUUAUGAGGGAUGACAAGUGUUCUUAGGAUUUUAAAAAUUACUAAUGUAAUAUCCUCUUUGGAGGGGCAAGAGCUUCCAAUUUUGAGACUUUAUAAACAUUAUGAAAAAUAUUUGUAGAAGUGUUAUCCGUUAGUGUUUGUUGCAGUUAAAUACCUUCGAUAUGGCGAGUUGAUAAAUAUUGAAUUCUCUUUAUAUUUGCCUAAAUUGUAGGUCGUUAGCAAUGACAUGUUUACUGGAAUUGAUAGUUAUCCUAAUACAAAUCUAGAACUCAUUUAUUCUACUAAUUAUUCAAGUAAUCUAGA